RNAcentral lists this ribosomal RNA (254 nucleotides) under uncultured bacterium. Its description in RNAcentral is "partial 16S ribosomal RNA". It matches the Rfam family "Bacterial small subunit ribosomal RNA", at positions 524 to 776 of the family's 1533-position model. The record is from RNAcentral.
UACGUAGGUGGCAAGCGUUGUUCGGAUUUACUGGGCGUAAAGGGCGCGUAGGCGGCCUGUGCAAGUCAGUUGUGAAAUCUCCGAGCUUAACUCGGAACGGUCAACUGAUACUGCUCGGCUAGAGUGCGGAAGGGGCAACUGGAAUUCUUGGUGUAGCGGUGAAAUGCGUAGAUAUCAAGAGGAACACCUGAGGUGAAGACGGGUUGCUGGGCCAACACUGACGCUGAGGCGCGAAAGCCAGGGGAGCAAACGGG